CUUCGGCCUGGUUAUUCAUAACCCUUUGUUGUCCGACUCUGUUGCCUCCGGGGCGACCCUGCCUUCGGGCGGGGGCUCCGGGUGGACACUUCAAACUCUUGCGUAACUUUGCAGUCUGAGUAAACUUAAUUAAUAAAUUAAAACUUUUAACAACGGAUCUCUUGGUUCUGGCAUCGAUAAGAACGCAGCAAUCUUGGUUCUGGCAUCGAUGAAGAACGCAGCAAUCCUCCCCUUUGUUGUCCCUUCCUUUGCCC
Molecule: unclassified non-coding RNA, 254 nt
Filed under: Cladosporium herbarum
Lineage: Eukaryota; Fungi; Ascomycota; Dothideomycetes; Cladosporiales; Cladosporiaceae
Description: sequence contains ITS1
Source: RNAcentral